RNAcentral lists this ribosomal RNA (491 nucleotides) under uncultured bacterium. RNAcentral describes it as "partial 16S ribosomal RNA". It matches the Rfam family "Bacterial small subunit ribosomal RNA", at positions 29 to 506 of the family's 1533-position model. The record is from RNAcentral.
AUUGAACGCUGGCGGCAUGCUUUACACAUGCAAGUCGAACGGUAACAGGCCUUCGGGUGCUGACGAGUGGCGAACGGGUGAGUAAUGCAUCGGAACGUACCCAGAGGUGGGGGAUAACGCAGCGAAAGCUGUGCUAAUACCGCAUGUGAUCUGAGGAUGAAAGCGGGGGACCGAGCAGCAAUGUUUGGCCUCGCGCCUUUGGAGCGGCCGAUGUCGGAUUAGCUAGUUGGUGGGGUAAAGGCCUACCAAGGCGACGAUCCGUAGCUGGUCUGAGAGGACGACCAGCCACACGGGGAGUGGGAAACGGCCCAGACUCCUAGGGGAGGCAGCAGGGGGGAAUUUUGGAAAAGGGGCGCAAGCCUGACCCAGCAAUGCCGGGGGCGGGAAGAGGGCCUUCGGGUUGUAAACCGCUUUUGGCAGGAACGAAACGGUGCCCGCAAAUACCGGGGGCUAAGGACGGUACCUGCAGAAUAAGCACCGGCUAACUACGG